GGACUUGAUGGUGGACGUAGAGCGCUCCAAUGCUGCUGCUGCAGCCCUGGACAAGAAGCAGAGGAACUUCGACAAGAUCCUGGCCGAGUGGAAGCAGAAGUAUGAGGAGUCGCAGUCGGAGCUGGAGUCCUCGCAGAAGGAGGCUCGCUCCCUCAGCACAGAGCUCUUCAAACUCAAGAACGCCUAUGAGGAGUCCCUGGAACAUCUGGAGACCUUCAAGCGGGAGAACAAAAACCUGCAGGAGGAGAUCUCCGACUUGACUGAGCAGUUGGGUUCCAGCGGAAAGACUAUCCAUGAGCUGGAGAAGGUCCGAAAGCAGCUGGAGGCCGAGAAGAUGGAGCUGCAGUCAGCCCUGGAGGAGGCCGAGGCCUCCCUGGAGCACGAGGAGGGCAAGAUCCUCCGGGCCCAGCUGGAGUUCAACCAGAUCAAGGCAGAGAUCGAGCGGAAGCUGGCAGAGAAGGACGAGGAGAUGGAACAGGCCAAGCGCAACCACCUGCGGGUGGUGGACUCGCUGCAGACCUCCCUGGACGCAGAGACACGCAGCCGCAACGAGGCCCUGAGGGUGAAGAAGAAGAUGGAAGGAGACCUCAAUGAGAUGGAGAUCCAGCUCAGCCACGCCAACCGCAUGGCCGCCGAGGCCCAGAAGCAAGUCAAGAGCCUCCAGAGCUUGUUGAAGGACACCCAGAUUCAGCUGGACGAUGCAGUCCGUGCCAACGACGACCUGAAGGAGAACAUCGCCAUCGUGGAGCGGCGCAACAACCUGCUGCAGGCUGAGCUGGAGGAGUUGCGUGCCGUGGUGGAGCAGACAGAGCGGUCCCGGAAGCUGGCGGAGCAGGAGCUGAUUGAGACUAGUGAGCGGGUGCAGCUGCUGCAUUCCCAGAACACCAGCCUCAUCAACCAGAAGAAGAAGAUGGAUGCUGACCUGUCCCAGCUCCAGACUGAAGUGGAGGAGGCAGUGCAGGAGUGCAGGAAUGCUGAGGAGAAGGCCAAGAAGGCCAUCACGGAUGCCGCCAUGAUGGCAGAGGAGCUGAAGAAGGAGCAGGACACCAGCGCCCACCUGGAGCGCAUGAAGAAGAACAUGGAACAGACCAUUAAGGACCUGCAGCACCGGCUGGACGAAGCCGAGCAGAUCGCCCUCAAGGGCGGCAAGAAGCAGCUGCAGAAGCUGGAAGCGCGGGUGCGGGAGCUGGAGAAUGAGCUGGAGGCCGAGCAGAAGCGCAACGCAGAGUCGGUGAAGGGCAUGAGGAAGAGCGAGCGGCGCAUCAAGGAGCUCACCUACCAGACGGAGGAGGACAGGAAAAACCUGCUGCGGCUGCAGGACCUGGUAGACAAGCUGCAGCUAAAGGUCAAGGCCUACAAGCGCCAGGCCGAGGAGGCGGUGACAAGCCAACACCAACCUGUCCAAGUUCCGCAAGGUGCAGCACGAGCUGGAUGAGGCAGAGGAGCGGGCGGACAUCGCCGAGUCCCAGGUCAACAAGCUGCGGGCCAAGAGCCGUGACAUUGGCACGAAGGGCUUGAAUGAGGAGUAGCUUUGCCACAUCUUGAUCUGCUCAGCCCUGGAGGUGCCAGCAAAGCCCCAUGCUGGAGCCUGUGUAACAGCUCCUUGGGAGGAAGCAGAAUAAAGCAAUUUUCCUUGAAGCCG
This 1642-nucleotide long non-coding RNA is filed under the name Homo sapiens (human). RNAcentral describes it as "long non-coding RNA NONHSAT169085.1". Lineage: Eukaryota; Metazoa; Chordata; Mammalia; Primates; Hominidae. The record is from RNAcentral.